This is a long non-coding RNA of Helianthus annuus (common sunflower), 1660 nucleotides long. RefSeq lists it as uncharacterized. The transcript is spliced from 11 exons. Lineage: Eukaryota; Viridiplantae; Streptophyta; Magnoliopsida; Asterales; Asteraceae. The record is from RefSeq and is a predicted model, not a curated record.
CUCUCUCUCUCUCUCUCAUUCUAUCAUUAAUCAUCGUUCCUUCUCAUUCAAAACCCUAAUCUCUCUCUCUCUCUCUCUCUGGCGAACACAACAAUUCGAUCAACCUUCAUCGGAGCUUAGGGUUUUCAAAUCUUCCUCUCAAAGAUGACUCACACAUCAUCGUGAAGCAAUUCUAAGCCGAUCCAUCUUCCUGAACGUCCUUAGGGUUACAACUCUUUCUCUCCAAGUGAUACCAGUAGGUCAAUCAAGAUUGGUUCCGCUUCGAACCCGACGACAGAGAUGAUCAGAGGUUUUCCGGUAAUGGAUUUGUUUUCAUCUAUUUUUCUCAUCCGAUUUGGUCUAAUUGCAGUUUGGUAGUCGUUUUCGAACAGAUAUUUGCAGUACUCGGUUAAGGAGAUUGUACAAAUCGUUGAAGUUCACUAAUAGGCGUGGAAACUAAACUAGAAAAUCCAUUCCAUCAUCUACUGUUAGGAUCAUAAUUAUGGUUCUUUUUUGAAUUUGUUUUUUUCCUGUUUGCGUGUGUUGUGUGGAUUGUGGAUAGCCUUCAUCUACGUUCUUGAAUACCGAGGCACAGGCUUUUCGAAUAGCAUGGAAAUUCAUUCGUGUGGCAUAUAGUAGUUGAGAGAUUUCCGACAACAAGAUUUUGUUGUGAUCCAAAAUGUGGGGCAAAACUCAGGGAUGAGACUAGGGCUUUCAAGGUUUCUAAGAAUGUACCUCCGGCUGUGUUGGUCCGGUUUCUACGAGAGCAUCAAUCAGAAUGGGCCGAUUUUAGAUGCUUACUCAGCUGCUUCGGUAAAAGCUAGCCCGUGUAUGGAUAUCAAGGGACACUGCCCAUGAGGUUUACAGGUAGCCAGAUCAUCAUGUCACUUGGCCUGACAAUUGAACAUGAAGAGUUAUUAGACUCGAAGGUCACACAGUUGGUCAAGAAGAUCCUUUUGUGUCGAGGGACAUUCAUCUCUUACAGUUAUGCAGCGGAAUCGAUUAGAAUGCAGUGGGUCGAGUGUUGGAUAAAUAUUUUCUAUCCCCAAACCCGAAGCAUCGUGAAUCCUACAUCUUUCUCUAUUGCUUCUCUUUUCGGUUGCGUCUGCCAAAGUCUUUUUCAAGGCCUAAGUGCAAACAGGGUAUUCAUCCAAUUGGCAUUAUUUGGGAUUUGGUGAUGUUAUGCCAAGAAGUUAGAUGAAUCGUUUUUUGGACUCUAAAUGAGGCCCCAACUUUGAUUACGAAUCACUCUCUGAUGCAAGUAUAGGCCAUCCAUGUAAUCUUAGGUUGUUGGCUGGAACUGUUAUCGUCAAGGCAUUUUGAAAGAUAAUAAUGGGAGUUCAAAACAGGAGCUGGAGAAUAAUUUGACGACUUGGGUUGUUUGUUCCAUUAUAGGUUUUCAUAAUUUUUAUUAUUCGGCCACUCAUCAAACAUCUGCAAAGCCAAAUCGUUGAUAAAGUGGAAGUAUUUCUUAAGAUCAUCAAUGGAGAGAGGUUCAUCAAUGAGGCGCCUAAAGCGCUUGUGCUAAAAAUCGUAUUAAUUCCUACAACCAUCAAACAUAUGUUAUUGUUGUGUGUAGAUUAUUUUUUUCUUUUUUUUAUCAUUUUUAUUGUUUUCAUGGCUUUAGCGGCAUGUAAAAAUUUUCCAGCAUGUGAAUAGUUUUCUGUUUUUUUUCUUUCAA